GCUGAUGUAGUUCAGUGGAAGAGCACUCACCUUGCAUGUGGGAGGUACUGGGUUUGAUCCUUAGCAUCACA
RNAcentral lists this transfer RNA (71 nucleotides) under Marmota monax (woodchuck). It matches the Rfam family "tRNA". Rfam says of the family: Transfer RNA (tRNA) molecules are approximately 80 nucleotides in length. Their secondary structure includes four short double-helical elements and three loops (D, anti-codon, and T loops). Further hydrogen bonds mediate the characteristic L-shaped molecular structure. tRNAs have two regions of fundamental functional importance: the anti-codon, which is responsible for specific mRNA codon recognition, and the 3' end, to which the tRNAs corresponding amino acid is attached (by aminoacyl-tRNA synthetases). tRNAs cope with the degeneracy of the genetic code in two manners: having more than one tRNA (with a specific anti-codon) for a particular amino acid; and 'wobble' base-pairing, i.e. permitting non-standard base-pairing at the 3rd anti-codon position. Lineage: Eukaryota; Metazoa; Chordata; Mammalia; Rodentia; Sciuridae. The record is from Rfam by way of RNAcentral.